This 424-nucleotide ribosomal RNA is filed under the name uncultured bacterium. RNAcentral describes it as "partial 16S ribosomal RNA". It matches the Rfam family "Bacterial small subunit ribosomal RNA", at positions 360 to 776 of the family's 1533-position model. The record is from RNAcentral.
AAUAUUGGACAAUGGGCGAAAGCCUGAUCCAGCCAUGCAGCGUGUGUGAAGAAGGUCUUCGGAUUGUAAAGCACUUUAAGUUGGGAGGAAGAGUUGUAGGCUAAUACCUUGCAAUUUUGACGUUACCAACAGAAUAAGCACCGGCUAACUUCGUGCCAGCAGCCGCGGUAAUACGAAGGGUGCAAGCGUUAAUCGGAAUUACUGGGCGUAAAGCGCGCGUAGGUAGUUUGUUAAGUUGGAAGUGAAAGCCCCGCGCUUAACCUGGGAACUGCUUUCAUAACUGCUGAUCUAGAGUACGGUAGAGGGUAGUGGAAUUUCCUGUGUAGCGGUGAAAUGCGUAGAUAUAGGAAGGAACACCAGUGGCGAAGGCGACCACCUGGGCUAAUACUGACACUGAGGUGCGAAAGCGUGGGGAGCAAACAGG